UAGUCCACACCGUAAACGAUGAAUGCCAGUCGUCGGGUAGUAUACUAUUCGGUGACACACCUAACGGAGUAAGCAUUCCGCCUGGGGAGUACGGUCGCAAGAUUAAAACUCAAAGGAAUUGACGGGGCCCGCACAAGCGGUGGAGCAUGUGGUUUAAUUCGAUGCAACGCGCAGAACCUUACCAGCCCUUGACAUCCCGGUCGCGGUUUCCAGAGAUGGUUACCUUCAGUUCGGCUGGACCGGUGACAGGUGCUGCAUGGCUGUCGUCAGCUCGUGUCGUGAGAUGUUGGGUUAAGUCCCGCAACGAGCGCAACCCUCAUCCUUAGUUGCCAGCGGUUCGGCCGGGCACUCUAAGGAAACUGCCGGUGACAAGCCGGAGGAAGGCGAGGGAUGACGUCAAGUCCUCAUGGCCCUUAUGGGGCUGGGGCUACACACGUGCUACAAUGGGCAGUGACAGUGGGAAGCAAGACCGCGAGGGUGGGAGCAAAUCCCCAAAAACU
RNAcentral lists this ribosomal RNA (500 nucleotides) under uncultured bacterium. RNAcentral's name for it is "bacterial SSU rRNA". It matches the Rfam family "Bacterial small subunit ribosomal RNA", at positions 791 to 1283 of the family's 1533-position model. The record is from RNAcentral.